Molecule: non-coding RNA, 47 nt
Organism: Macrostomum lignano
Lineage: Eukaryota; Metazoa; Platyhelminthes; Macrostomidae
Source: Rfam
CAAACGGCCCUUUUCAGGGCCACCCUAAACUAACUCAGCGGUCGGUU